AAAAAUUUUCAUGCCUCAUCUUGACUUCUCCACAAGUAAAUUAAAUGAAUCUGCCAUUAGAGAAGAAGUUGAAGCAUUUAUCAUGUUUCAUGCACUUCCAAGAGAUUUCACUGCAAAUCCAUUGUCUCUUUCCUUGUAGCAAGUAUCAAUGUUAAGAGGGUAUCUCAGUGGAUAUUGUCGACUAUUCUAGCUCACCCCACAAGAGUUUUUACUUGUGCUUCCUCUUGUGUGAUCAGCUGAAUUUCACGUACGGUAGGUACCUAUGUUUCUUGGAAGGGAGUGGCAGCUCCCUUUUCUUCCUCCUUAAAUGUUAACAUGAAGCUAGCUAGCUAAUUAAAGCUCAAAACUUUUUGCUUCUACAAUUAAGGCAACCUUAUGUGUAUCAUUGCCAAGCCUUUGUUCAUUAUCGGCCUAAAUUAAUGGUGAGUAGGUUUUAUAUGGUUUGUUCAUAAUUGGGUUGCAAUAUCUCGUAAUCGCUACAUCUUCUGCACCUCUUCUUGCAUAAUUAGGUGAUGAGAUUGAGCAGAAGUAGAAGAAUUUCUAUUAUUUUCAUGAUUAUUUUAUGGAGAUUUGCUUAAUAUUUAACUGUAAAACUGUGAGUUGGUGAGAACAUAGUGGGAUAUUAAUUCUGUGGUUAAUUAAUCAGAGAGUAUUUUUUACAGUUACUUCAAGAUUUUCUUGCUUGCCGUGCAUGUUUACACUGCUCGAUCUUUCUCCUUGAGUUAAGUAAUUAUCAGUAUCUUACUGUGGAAAGCUGUCUUUUUCAUUGAGGCAUAGAAUCAAAAUUGUUAGCAAAAACCCUAUAAAGCUUUUAAAAAAGCCUACAAGUGGUACCGUUUUGUGCAAAAUCAGCUAAUUGCUUUAGUGUGAGUGCCUUCUACGUUUAAUAAAUGGUAAGGGAGAACAUAGGGAUAUAUUGCUAAACUUCCCUGCAAAGCAUUCCCUUCUCAACAAAUUAUACUUUAUUCAUCAAUCUCUUUUGCAUUUGCAUAUCUUUUUGUUCCUUUCAUGUACGUUCAAUGUUUACGUGAUCUAAAAACUUUUGGAUCACACCAUGUUCUACAUUAUAUAAAAAAAUAUAUUUAUUUUUCUGAUUUCUCCGCAAAUUUCAAAAUUUUUCUUUAGUUCAUUCCGUUUUUUACAUUUGUUGUACAACACUUCAUGUUUUUUCCCAUAUCAAUUUUGCAUUUUGACUCAAUAUUAAAUAAUUAUGAUAGUGAACGACAUAACAAUUAUCUACUACUAAUAUAGCUAACGACUAUUAUAAUAGUUAGUAUUGUCGAAAUGAGCCUACUUCAAGUUUUAGUUGUAAAAUUGCUUUAAAUUUAUUUUCAUUUUUUAAAGCUUUUUACAUUAAAAUUCAUGUAUUCUUUCUAUUGGAAAUUAGAGUACUGAGAAAACGAGAAAACAUAUGGGACAGAAAUGUAGAGGAAAAAGAACAGAAGGCUUUUAUUCUAAUAUUGUUUCAUAAAGUUGAGAAUACAGACAUGUCUCUUUAAUCGACCCGCGGGUUGAUUAAUUCCAUAAACAGCACAUGUGGCUGCUAGACCACUGGCUACAUUAAUUAAAAUGCCUUUAAAUACAAACAUGAAUGCUGCGACUUCAUUAAUUUCACAGUCCACUCUAAUGGAACUUCAUCUUAUAAGGAACAUGAAUUUUACGACUGAUCACUAGCUAAUAUUUGGUGGGUAUUAAUUAACUUAACACUAGGAAAACAACAGUCAAAUUAAGUUACAGCGUUUUUAAUUUUUAUUAUGUACAGGAACUUAUAUCAUAAUUUUCCCUUUAAUUACCUCUCAUCAUUCUACGAUCAGUGUAUAUACUGUUGCAUAGUCUUAUAACAGGAUGUGCAUCAUUUCCAUAUCUCAAUUUGACUACCGGGGGUGGACGUGGAAGCAUUUUCUGGCGCGGUUUCUUGCUUGCUCAAGUGCUUAGCAACCAUAUUUGCCUGAUCUGAUGAGUGGAAGAUAUUGUUGGUUGCAUUUGAGUAGCUAUUAUUUUCCUUGGGCAGGUCGUCUUGGCUUAGUUGAGAAGCAACAAACUUGUCUAGAACUCUCCAAUCAGUCACUGGAUCAACUGGUUGCCUAUUAUUAUUUUGGUGACCAU
This 2106-nucleotide long non-coding RNA is filed under the name Manihot esculenta (cassava). Its description in RNAcentral is "long non-coding RNA (MESC_LNC003637)". Lineage: Eukaryota; Viridiplantae; Streptophyta; Magnoliopsida; Malpighiales; Euphorbiaceae. The record is from RNAcentral.